Molecule: transfer RNA, 77 nt
Filed under: Acidaminococcaceae bacterium
Lineage: Bacteria; Bacillati; Bacillota; Negativicutes; Acidaminococcales; Acidaminococcaceae
Also listed under: 1 other name
Description: tRNA-Val
Rfam family: tRNA
About the family: Transfer RNA (tRNA) molecules are approximately 80 nucleotides in length. Their secondary structure includes four short double-helical elements and three loops (D, anti-codon, and T loops).
Source: RNAcentral
GGGGUUAUAGCUCAGUUGGUUAGAGCGCUUCGUUCACAUCGAAGAGGUCCACGGUUCGAACCCGCGUAACCCCACCA